RNAcentral lists this ribosomal RNA (253 nucleotides) under uncultured bacterium. Its description in RNAcentral is "partial 16S ribosomal RNA". It matches the Rfam family "Bacterial small subunit ribosomal RNA", at positions 524 to 776 of the family's 1533-position model. The record is from RNAcentral.
UACGAAGGGGGCUAGCGUUGCUCGGAAUCACUGGGCGUAAAGCGCACGUAGGCGGCUUUCUAAGUCAGGGGUGAAAUCCUGGAGCUCAACUCCAGAACUGCCUUUGAUACUGGAGAGCUUGAGUCCGGGAGAGGUGAGUGGAACUCCGAGUGUAGAGGUGAAAUUCGUAGAUAUUCGGAAGAACACCAGUGGCGAAGGCGACUUUCUGGCCUGUUCUUGACGCUGAGGCGCGAAAGCUAGGGGAGCAAACGGG